GUGCAUCAGGAGACAAUGGUGCAGCUGAUGAAUAUCGUUCUGGCUUUCUGGAUUCUACCCAUUUAAAGAUGACCUUUUUAGAUGGCAACUCCACUGGGUAUAAAUAAGUAUAAGCAUUUAUUUCAUCAACCAAAGAGUCCAUUCUUAGAUCUUCCUCUGCAAGGGACCCCAAAGAUGGAAAGAAAAUAGAUAUGGAAGAAGAUAGACCAAAAAGCACGAAAUCCCUCCUGAAAAACCCAUCUAG
Molecule: unclassified non-coding RNA, 244 nt
Filed under: Hevea brasiliensis (rubber tree)
Lineage: Eukaryota; Viridiplantae; Streptophyta; Magnoliopsida; Malpighiales; Euphorbiaceae
Source: RNAcentral